GACGAACGCUGGCGGCGUGCCUAAUACAUGCAAGUCGAACGCAGGGGGGACGGGUGAGUAACACGUGGGUAACCUCCCAUCAGAGGGGAUAACACGUGGAAAAAGGCGCUAAACCGAUACUGAUGGAUGGACCCGCGGUGCAUUAGCUAGUUGGUGAGGUAACUGCCCACCAAGGCCACGAUGCAUAGGCUGCCUGGGAGGGGGAUCGGCCCAACUGGGACUGGAAGACGGGCCAGACUCCUACGGGAGGCAACAGUAGGGGAACUUCGGCAAAUGACGGAAAUCUGACCGCGCAACGCCGCGUGGGGGAAAAAGGUUUUCGGAUCGUAAAAGUCUGUUGUGAGGGAAGCGGUACUUAAAGAGAAAGGAACGGCUAACUACGUGCCAGCAGCCGCGGUAAUAC
This 403-nucleotide ribosomal RNA is filed under the name uncultured bacterium. RNAcentral's name for it is "partial 16S ribosomal RNA". It matches the Rfam family "Bacterial small subunit ribosomal RNA", at positions 28 to 526 of the family's 1533-position model. The record is from RNAcentral.